Molecule: ribosomal RNA, 253 nt
Filed under: uncultured bacterium
Lineage: Bacteria
Description: partial 16S ribosomal RNA
Rfam family: Bacterial small subunit ribosomal RNA
Source: RNAcentral
UACAGAGGGUGCUAGCGUUGUUCGGAAUGACUGGGCGUAAAGGGUGCGUAGGUGGUCCCUUAAGUAAGAUGUGAAAUCCCUGCGCUUAACUCAGGAACUGCGUCUUAUACUGAGGGUCUAGAGUAUUGCAGAGGAAACAGGAAUUCCUAGUGGAGGGGUAAUAUCCAUAGAUAUUAGGAGGAACACCAAAAGCGAAGGCAAGUUUCUGGGCAAUUACUGACACUGAGGCACUAAAGCGUGGGGAGCAAACAGG